CCUACGGGGGGCUGCAGUAGGGAAUCUUCCACAAUGGGCGAAAGCCUGAUGGAGCAACGCCGCGUGGGUGAAGAAGGUCUUCGGAUCGUAAAACCCUGUUGUUAGAGAAGAAAGUGCGUGAGAGUAACUGUUCACGUUUCGACGGUAUCUAACCAGAAAGCCACGGCUAACUACGUGCCAGCAGCCGCGGUAAUAUGUAGGUGGCAAGCGUUAUCCGGAUUUAUUGGGCGUAAAGGGAACGCAGGCGGUCUUUUAAGUCUGAUGUGAAAGCCUUCGGCUUAACCGGAGUAGUGCAUUGGAAACUGGGAGACUGGAGUGCAGAAGAGGAGAGUGGAACUCCAUGUGUAGCGGUGAAAUGCGUAGAUAUAUGGAAGAACACCAGUGGCGAAAGCGGCUCUCUGGUCUGUAACUGACGCUGAGGUUCGAAAGCGUGGGUAGCAAACAGGAUUAGAUACCCGGGUAGUC
RNAcentral lists this ribosomal RNA (465 nucleotides) under uncultured bacterium. RNAcentral's name for it is "partial 16S ribosomal RNA". It matches the Rfam family "Bacterial small subunit ribosomal RNA", at positions 338 to 795 of the family's 1533-position model. The record is from RNAcentral.